CCUACGGGGGGCUGCAGUAGGGAAUAUUGCUCAAUGGGGGAAACCCUGAAGCAGCAACGCCGCGUGGAGGAUGAAGGUUUUCGGAUUGUAAACUCCUUUUGUUAGAGAAGAUAAUGACGGUACCUAACGAAUAAGCACCGGCUAACUCCGUGACAGCAGCCGCGGUAAUACGGAGGGUGCAAGCGUUACUCGGAAUCACUGGGCGGAAAGAGCGCGUAGGCGGGAUAGCAAGUUAGGUGUGAAAUCCUAGGGCUUAACCAUAGAACUGCAUUUGAAACUGAUAUUCUAGAGUAUGGGAGAGGUAGGUGGAAUGCUUGGUGUAGGGGUAAAAUCCGUAGAGAUCAAGAAGAAUACUCAUUGCGAAGGCGACCUGCUAGAACAUAACUGACGCUGAUGCGCGAAAGCGUGGGGAGCAAACAGGAUUAGAUACCCGUGUAGUC
This 440-nucleotide ribosomal RNA is filed under the name uncultured bacterium. Its description in RNAcentral is "partial 16S ribosomal RNA". It matches the Rfam family "Bacterial small subunit ribosomal RNA", at positions 338 to 795 of the family's 1533-position model. The record is from RNAcentral.